This 374-nucleotide ribosomal RNA is filed under the name uncultured organism. RNAcentral's name for it is "bacterial SSU rRNA". It matches the Rfam family "Bacterial small subunit ribosomal RNA", at positions 526 to 896 of the family's 1533-position model. The record is from RNAcentral.
CGUAGGGGGCGAGCGUUGUCCGGAAUCAUUGGGCGUAAAGAGCUCGUAGGCGGCUCAGUAAGUCGGGUGUGAAACCCUCAGGCUCAACCUGGGGACGCCACCCGAUACUGCUGUGGCUAGAGUCCAGUAGGGGAGUGUGGAAUUCCCGGUGUAGCGGUGAAAUGCGCAGAUAUCGGGAGGAACACCAGCGGCGAAGGCGGCACUCUGGGCUGGAACUGACGCUGAGGAGCGAAAGCGUGGGUAGCAACCAGGAUUAGAUACCCUGGUAGUCCACGCCGUAAACGUUGGGCACUAGGUGUGGGGACCCUCCAACGGUUUCCGUGCCGUAGCUAACGCAUUAAGUGCCCCGCCUGGGGAGUACGGCCGCAAGGCUA